Molecule: ribosomal RNA, 497 nt
Filed under: uncultured bacterium
Lineage: Bacteria
Description: partial 16S ribosomal RNA
Rfam family: Bacterial small subunit ribosomal RNA
Source: RNAcentral
GAUGAACGCUGGCGGCGUGCCUAAUACAUGCAAGUCGAGCGAACAGACGAGGAGCUUGCUCCUCUGACGUUAGCGGCGGACGGGUGAGUAACACGUGGAUAACCUACCUAUAAGACUGGGAUAACUUCGGGAAACCGGAGCUAAUACCGGAUAAUAUAUUGAACCGCAUGGUUCAAUAGUGAAAGACGGUUUUGCUGUCACUUAUAGAUGGAUCCGCGCCGCAUUAGCUAGUUGGUAAGGUAACGGCUUACUAAGGCAACGAUGCGUAGCCGACCUGAGAGGGUGAGCGGCCACAGUGGAACUGAGACACGGUCCAGACUCCUACGGGAGGCAGCAGUAGGGAAUCGUACGCAAUGGGCGAGAGCUUGACGGAGCAACGCCGAGUGAGUGAUGAAGGUCUUCGGAUCGUAAAACUCUGUUAUUAGGGAAGAACAAAUGUGUAAGUAACUAUGCACGUCUUGACGGUACCUAAUCAGAAAGCCACGGCUAACUACGUG